GACAGACUCCUACGGGAGGCAGCAGUGGGGAAUAUUGCACAAUGGGCGCAAGCCUGAUGCAGCCAUGCCGCGUGUAUGAAGAAGGCCUUCGGGUUGUAAAGUACCUUCAGCGGGGAGGAAGGCGAUAAGGUUAAUAACCUUGUUGAUUGACGUUACCCGCAGAAGAAGCACCGGCUAACUCCGUGCCAGCAGCCGCGGUAAUACGGAGGGUGUAAGCGUUAAUCGGAAUUACUGGGCGUAAAGCGCACGCAGGCGGUCUGUCAAGUCGGAUGUGAAAGCCCCGGGCUCAACCUGGGAACUGCAUUCGAAACUGGCAGGCUGGAGUCUGGUAGAGGGGGGUAGAAUUCCAGGUGUAGCGGUGAAAUGCGUAGAGAUCUGGAGGAAUACCGGUGGCGAAGGCGGCCCCCUGGACAAAGACUGACGCUCAGGUGCGAAAGCGUGGGGAGCAAACAGGAUUAGAUCCCCCCGUA
Molecule: ribosomal RNA, 470 nt
Filed under: uncultured bacterium
Lineage: Bacteria
Description: bacterial SSU rRNA
Rfam family: Bacterial small subunit ribosomal RNA
Source: RNAcentral